RNAcentral lists this long non-coding RNA (889 nucleotides) under Mytilus galloprovincialis (Mediterranean mussel). The record is from RNAcentral. Lineage: Eukaryota; Metazoa; Mollusca; Bivalvia; Mytilida; Mytilidae.
AACUUGACUAUACAAUAUCAAUAUAAAAUGUUCUACACACAUGCAGCUGUUUGGUUAGUGAUAUAUUUCUGUAUAUUCCCUUGCUUAAAUCUGCAAACACAUGCCCUUUAUGACACAAAUUAGAAUUCAAAUUCAAGAAGUUCUUUUAAUUGAUUUAUUAAUAAAUUUAACAGAAAAUUUGACAUUAUAAGCAUGAUAUAACACUGCAUUGUGUAGCAUAUAACUAAAUAUAGACUGUGGAAACACAUACUCUGUUCUGUAGUGAAAGUAAAACAAAAUUAUACGUGUACAUUUUUUAACCUAUCCUCUAACAUACAAACAUCAAACGAAGUACACAUUUUUUAGAACAACUGAUUUUUUCAUAACUGAUACUUUGAUGGAAAUAAUUAAGCAAAGAAAAUUAAAGAAUUAAGAUAUUCCUAAAUGAAUGUUUUUUCUUUAUAAAUUAUGACUAGAACUAAAAAAAGAUUAUUCCUUUGAACACUAUUGGAAAGAUGUGCUUUUCAAAUAGACAAACAUAUUUUACGAAAUUCAAUGCCAGUAAUAAUGUAAGAAUUUUGACAAUUCUUUUCAUAAAAUUUAACAAUUUUCCUUGACAAAACUGACUUCAAAGAUACAAAGGUCAAAAUAAUAUGAAAGGAGAUUGAGGUUAAGAGGUCAUGGAAAAAACAUAGUUGAUAGAAAAAAUCACUUGAUAUACAAUUGAAACAAAGAAAAAACUGUACAUAAAUACAGGUUAAAAAAUACCUCUAUAUUAAGUUAGCUUAAUGUCUGUUUUUAAAGGAGUAAGUUCGGUAAGUGCCAUAUUUGGCCCCAAUUAUAAAGUUCAUGGUUACAAGAUAAUAAUUGUUUUAAGUUGCCUUAAGACAUGUGAAAAAGUUAAACAGAG